Molecule: ribosomal RNA, 514 nt
Filed under: Chihuahuanus cazieri
Lineage: Eukaryota; Metazoa; Arthropoda; Arachnida; Scorpiones; Vaejovidae
Description: eukaryotic LSU rRNA
Rfam family: Eukaryotic large subunit ribosomal RNA
Source: RNAcentral
CCAAGGAGUCUAACAUGUGCGCGAGUCGUCGGGUCUUGAAUAGGCCCGCAGGCGAAAUGAAAGUGAAGGGCGACCCAGUCGUCGCCUGCGUUGGGAUCCCCGGGCCGCCGCGUCCGGGGCGCACCAACGGCCCGUCCCGUCCGCGUCGUCGGUGGGACGGAGCGAGAGCGUACACGUUGGGACCCGAAAGAUGGUGAACUAUGCCUGGGCAGGACGAGGCCAGAGGAAACUCUGGUGGAGGUCCGCAGCGAUUCUGACGUGCAAAUCGAUCGUCAGACCUGGGUAUAGGGGCGAAAGACUAAUCGAACCGUCUAGUAGCUGGUUCCCUCCGAAGUUUCCCUCAGGAUAGCUGGCGCUCGAGGGAGUCAGUCUCAUCCGGUAAAGCGAAUGAUUAGAGGCCUUGGGGCCGAAACGACCUCAACCUAUUCUCAAACUUUCAAUGGGUGAGAAGUCCGGUUUACAUGACUGAAGCCCGGACAAUUCUCAGGAUGCGAGUGCCCAGUGGGCCACUUUU